Molecule: ribosomal RNA, 473 nt
Filed under: uncultured Planctomycetota bacterium
Lineage: Bacteria; Pseudomonadati; Planctomycetota
Description: bacterial SSU rRNA
Rfam family: Bacterial small subunit ribosomal RNA
Source: RNAcentral
AAGUACGUGGCGGCAUGGACUAGCAGUACAGUCGAGCGAGAAAGUUUCUUUUGCUUGCAUUGGAAACUGGAAAGCGGCGAAAGGGAGAGUAACGCGUAGGGUACCUGCCCCCAGGUUUGGGAUAGCGGUGGGAAACCGCCGGUAAUACCGAAUAAUGUCUCCGGACCAAAGGUGUGAUUCCGCCUGGGGAUGGUCCUGCGUCCUAUUAGUUUGUUGGUGGGGUAACGGCCUACCAAGACGUUGAUGGGUAGCGGGCGUGAGAGCGUGGCCCGUCUCACUGGGACUGAGACACUGCCCAGACACCUACGGGUGGCUGCAGUCGAGAAUCUUCCGCAAUGGACGAAAGUCUGACGGAGCGAUGCCGCGUGCGGGAUGAAGGCCUUCGGGUUGUAAACCGCUGUCAGUGGGGUGGAAAUGCAUUGGGGUUAUCCCCAGAUGUUUGACCUAACCGCACAGGAAGUCCGGGCUAAGUA